GUUGCUAGUUGCAUACUCAUGCACAAUAACAUAUUCAAAGUGAAGAGCGCACCCAUAGGACUUCAAAAUGAACAAGAUAACUUCAUUUUUUUUUUCAGUUGUGCAACCGCAGACACUCAGCAUUUCAGUCCCAUUACUAAAAUGUCCUUAAUAAGCCAAAGUAGUUGUACUGAAACAUUGAUUACAUGCAAACGUACGUCUGCUUUAAAUAAAGGUGCUCUUUUGUUUAUUU
Molecule: non-coding RNA, 232 nt
Organism: Pelobates cultripes (western spadefoot toad)
Lineage: Eukaryota; Metazoa; Chordata; Amphibia; Anura; Pelobatidae
Source: the annotation of a GenBank genome assembly